UACAGAGGGGGCAAGCGUUAUUCGGAAUUAUUGGGCGUAAAGAGCUCGUAGGCGGUUUGUCGCGUCUGCUGUGAAAACCCGAGGCUCAACCUCGGGCCUGCAGUGGGUACGGGCAGACUAGAGUGCGGUAGGGGAGAUUGGAAUUCCUGGUGUAGCGGUGGAAUGCGCAGAUAUCAGGAGGAACACCAAUGGCGAAGGCAGAUCUCUGGGCCGUAACUGACGCUGAGGAGCGAAAGCAUGGGGAGCGAACAGG
This 253-nucleotide ribosomal RNA is filed under the name uncultured bacterium. RNAcentral's name for it is "partial 16S ribosomal RNA". It matches the Rfam family "Bacterial small subunit ribosomal RNA", at positions 524 to 776 of the family's 1533-position model. The record is from RNAcentral.